UAGUAAUUUAAAAGGGGCAAUUGCUCCACUAUGAGAUGGACCUGCGUUGUAUUAGCUAGUUGGUGAGGCAAAGGCUCACCAAGGCGACGAUACAUAGCCGACCUGAGAGGGUGAUCGGCCACACUGGGACUGAGACACGGCCCAGACUCCUACGGGAGGCAGCAGUAGGGAAUCUUCGGCAAUGGGGGCAACCCUGACCGAGCAACGCCGCGUGAGUGAAGAAGGUUUUCGGAUCGUAAAGCUCUGUUGUUAGAGAAGAAUGAUGGUGGGAGUGGAAAAUCCACCAAGUGACGGUAACUAACCGGAAAGGGACGGCUAACUACGUGCCAGCAGCCGCGGUAAUACGUAGGUCCCGAGCGUUGUCCGGAUUUAUUGGGCGUAAAGCGAGCGCAGGCGGUUUUUUAAGUCUGAAGUUAAAGGCAUUGGCUCAACCAAUGUACGCUUUGGAAACUGGAGAACUUGAGUGCAGAAGGGGAGAGUGGAAUUCCAUGUGUAGCGGUGAAAUGCGUAGAUAUAUGGAGGAACACCGGUGGCGAAAGCGGCUCUCUGGUCUGUAACUGACGCUGAGGCUCGAAAGCGUGGGGAGCAAACAGGAUUA
This 598-nucleotide ribosomal RNA is filed under the name uncultured Streptococcaceae bacterium. Its description in RNAcentral is "bacterial SSU rRNA". It matches the Rfam family "Bacterial small subunit ribosomal RNA", at positions 193 to 780 of the family's 1533-position model. Lineage: Bacteria; Bacillati; Bacillota; Bacilli; Lactobacillales; Streptococcaceae. The record is from RNAcentral.